This 442-nucleotide ribosomal RNA is filed under the name uncultured bacterium. Its description in RNAcentral is "partial 16S ribosomal RNA". It matches the Rfam family "Bacterial small subunit ribosomal RNA", at positions 338 to 795 of the family's 1533-position model. The record is from RNAcentral.
CCUACGGGAGACAGCAGUGGGGAAUAUUGGGCAAUGGACGCAAGUCUGACCCAGCAACGCCGCGUGAAGGAAGAAGGCUUUCGGGUUGUAAACUUCUUUUAAGGGGGAAGAGCAGAAGACGGUACCCCUUGAAUAAGCCACGGCUAACUACGUGCCAGCAGCGGCGGUAAUACGGAGGUGGCAAGCGUUGUCCGGAUUUACGGGGUGUAAAGGGCGUGCAGCCGGAGAGGCAAGUCAGGUGUGAAAUCCGCGGGCUCAACUCGCGAACUGCAUUGGAAACUGCUUCCCUUGAGUGUCGGAGAGGUAAGCGGAAUUCCUAGUGUAGCGGUGAAAUGCGUAGAUAUUAGGAAGAACACCAGUGGCGAAGGCGGAUUACUGGACGACAACUGACGGUGAGGCGCGAAAGCGUGGGGAGCAAACAGGAUUAGAUACCCCUGUAGUC